GGCCGCUUGGUCUAGGGGUAUGAUUCCUGCUUUGGGUGCAGGAGGUCCCGGGUUCAAAUCCCGGAGCGGCCC
This is a non-coding RNA of Rhodnius prolixus, 72 nucleotides long. NCBI's taxonomy places the organism in Eukaryota, Metazoa, Arthropoda, Insecta, Hemiptera, Reduviidae. The record is from Rfam.